Molecule: ribosomal RNA, 253 nt
Filed under: uncultured bacterium
Lineage: Bacteria
Description: partial 16S ribosomal RNA
Rfam family: Bacterial small subunit ribosomal RNA
Source: RNAcentral
UACAGAGGUCCCAAGCGUUGUUCGGAUUCACUGGGCGUAAAGGGUGCGUAGGUGGCGAAGUAAGUUCGAUGUGAAAUCUCCGAGCUUAACUCGGAAAUGUCAUUGAAUACUAUUUUGCUGGAGGGUCGGAAGGGAGACUGGAAUUCUCGGUGUAGCAGUGAAAUGCGUAGAUAUCGAGAGGAACACCAGUGGCGAAGGCGAGUCUCUGGACGACUCCUGACACUGAGGCACGAAAGCUAGGGGAGCAAACAGG